This 532-nucleotide ribosomal RNA is filed under the name uncultured organism. RNAcentral's name for it is "bacterial SSU rRNA". It matches the Rfam family "Bacterial small subunit ribosomal RNA", at positions 385 to 917 of the family's 1533-position model. The record is from RNAcentral.
GAACCAGCCAAGUAGCGUGCAGGAUGACGGCCCUAUGGGUUGUAAACUGCUUUUAUAAGGGAAUAAAGUGAGCCUCGUGAGGCUUUUUGCAUGUACCUUAUGAAUAAGGACCGGCUAAUUCCGUGCCAGCAGCCGCGGUAAUACGGAAGGUCCGGGCGUUAUCCGGAUUUAUUGGGUUUAAAGGGAGCGUAGGCCGGAGAUUAAGCGUGUUGUGAAAUGUAGAUGCUCAACGUCUGCACUGCAGCGCGAACUGGUUUCCUUGAGUACGCACAAAGUGGGCGGAAUUCGUGGUGUAGCGGUGAAAUGCUUAGAUAUCACGAAGAACUCCGAUUGCGAAGGCAGCUCACUGGAGCGCAACUGACGCUGAAGCUCGAAAGUGCGGGUAUCGAACAGGAUUAGAUACCCUGGUAGUCCGCACGGUAAACGAUGGAUGCCCGCUGUUGGUCUGAAUAGGUCAGCGGCCAAGCGAAAGCAUUAAGCAUCCCACCUGGGGAGUACGCCGGCAACGGUGCAACUCAAAUGAAUUGACGGA